RNAcentral lists this ribosomal RNA (273 nucleotides) under uncultured bacterium. Its description in RNAcentral is "partial 16S ribosomal RNA". It matches the Rfam family "Bacterial small subunit ribosomal RNA", at positions 523 to 796 of the family's 1533-position model. The record is from RNAcentral.
AUACGGAGGUGCAAGCGUUAUUCGGAAUCACUGGGCGUAAAGGACGCGUAGGCGGGUUGGCAAGUCAGAUGUGAAAUCCUACAGCUUAACUGUAGAACUGCAUUUGAAACUGCUAACCUAGAGUAUGGGAGGGGGAGAUGGAAUUAGUGGUGUAGGGGUAAAAUCCGUAGAUAUCACUAGGAAUACCGAAAGCGAAGGCGAUCUCCUGGAACAUAACUGACGCUAAGGCGUGAAAGCGUGGGGAGCAAACAGGAUUAGAAACCCUAGUAGUCC